UAAAAUACUUUCGGGCUUGUCAUAAAAUUGAAAGGAAUGAGAAACACACAUCGAAUUAUUUUGAAGUAAAUUUUAAAAGUACAAACAUUAUGAAGUACAAAAAAUUAUACGCUUAUAGUUAACAUGAUUAUUUUCUUAAACUUAAUUGUUACACGAACGAGAAAGAACAAUAAUUUUCAACACAUUUCAAAAGUAGAGGUAUGCUGUUUGGAGGCACUGGACAAUCAAUGUCAGAAACGCAAGGAAUGCUAGCUGCAUUGUCAAAUAAGAAAAAAGAAAUGUUAGUAAAAGAUGAUAUAAUAUUUUGUAUAAGAUAAAGUAGAAAUUUUAAUAUGGUGUGAAUAAAAUGACAUACUUCUAAUGGUUAGAACAAAAGGUAGAGAAAGAAAGAUGACCAAAGCAAGAAACAUGAUAAUUUGAGUCAUACUUCUUUUCCUUUGCAUGCAAUUACUAUAAUUUUCUUAUGGUUUUAUAGGUACAAAUUUCAUGGUUGUUAAAUUAGGUAGUUUUUACCACUUAGAAAUUUCAAGAAGCCAUUUAUAUAUGAAUUAGCUAUUUGUA
This 561-nucleotide long non-coding RNA is filed under the name Trifolium pratense (red clover). RNAcentral's name for it is "long non-coding RNA (TPRA_LNC009380)". Lineage: Eukaryota; Viridiplantae; Streptophyta; Magnoliopsida; Fabales; Fabaceae. The record is from RNAcentral.